RNAcentral lists this long non-coding RNA (1442 nucleotides) under Daucus carota (carrot). Its description in RNAcentral is "long non-coding RNA (DCAR_LNC000547)". The record is from RNAcentral. Lineage: Eukaryota; Viridiplantae; Streptophyta; Magnoliopsida; Apiales; Apiaceae.
UUUCUACACCUUAUUUUCAACCGUAAAAUCAUUUCACCAGUUUCUCUGCACGAAUACCGAGAGAAACCGAGCGGUGUUCUUCGUGUUCUUCAUAAUCAAACGAAGAUUUGAAGGUGUUAUUGGAAUCCGAUGGAGGCGUAUGAAUAGUCAAAACGAAGCUAUCGACGCGUAGAAUCUAGUUUAAUCAUCCGUUUGUGUGCAGAUUCAACAGGAUUUGGACGAGAAGUGUAUGCCCGAAGACGUUCAGAAAGUCACGUGGUGUUACAAAGCGAAUAAGGGAUGAAUCGAGUAAGCGAAGCGAAGAUGUACGGUAGAUAGAGUAUAGCCAGAGAUGGUCUAGAGACUAUGAGAGGCAUAGAUUGUGAAAGUGGAAAGAUGAGAUUGAGAUGUGAGACUGGAGUCAGAUUUAAGGCAAGUAUCCUAAACCUUUCUCUUGGAUAUAUUGCAAAUAUUCUGAUCCAUUCCUUUGGUAUAUGUUUCAAGUAUUCAUACCUUUCUUUUCAAUGUUCGAAAGUGCGAGUAUUCUGACCCAUUCUUUCUAAUCUUCAAGUUUCUAAAGAAUUUCCGUUUUACAAAUUAAUUCGAAGUUCAGAUUGUCAUUGAAGCAUGUGUUGCUCAGUGAUAGUUAGAGCUUUGAAUGAAUUGGGAUCUUCUUGAUUAUUCAACCCACCAUUGUCAUGCUGGUUUAGCAGGCUAAAUUCAGUUGCUUAGCCGAUAAUGGAGGAUACUGAAUAGUUGAGGAUUUCCUGAACUGUGAUUUAUGAAAUGAUGGAUCAUGAUUUAUGAAUAGAUUAUUAUCAAAGUUUGAUUUGGAAUUAUUCUGUUGUUGAUGAUAUUUAUGAUGAUGUUCUGUUAAUUUACAUUGGCUUCUUGAAUUGAAUUAGAGAAUUGGAUUAUUGUUUUUAUAUAAACCUGUGGACCAGAUUCGUGGUCAUGUUAGGCCAAUGAGUGCCUUGGAUCCAGUGAUAGAGCAUGGCGGGGCCUGCUCGGGGUUAGUGCGGAACUGAUCAGCUGCCUAACCUUGGUUUUAAUUAAAAUGUGAUAGUCCAAUUCAAUAAUUCUUUGGAAAGAUUGAAUUUCUCAGUUUAAAUGCUGCAAGGUAUUGUAAAUCAUUCUAUACAAUACCAUGAACUCAUGAACUCAGGUUGAAUCCUCUUAUAUCUUGAACUCGUGAACUUCUGUUAUAUCAUUUCAGAACUAUCAUUGUUUAUUAUUACUUGCUGAGCAUUGUUGCUCACCCUUGCUAUUCCUUUUUGACCAUUUCAGAAAGGCUUAAAGAUGAGAUGAUUGAUUGAGAUUGUGAGUAAGGCUAAUGCUAGGCGAGGAGACAGAGUUGAGGAUCCAGUGGUCGAGGAGUGUUCAGGAAAGUUGAUGAGGUUGGUGCAAGCUGGAAUAGUUGACAGUGAUUCUUCUUAUCGAAGAUGAUCUGAUUUGGUAAGAGA